GCGGCGAGCUGUAUCGCGACUGCGCCUUCCACAUCGAUCUGCUGGGCGGCUUCCGCUACCUCGAUAUGCAGGAAGCCCUGUUGCUGACGCAGUUCACGCAAUUCACGGCGGCGGUGCCGGCCCUGCAGUUCAACACGGUGACCAGCUCGGACCGCUUCCGCACGCACAACCAGUUUUACGGCGGCCAGAUCGGCACCGAGGCGGAGCUGCACCACGGCCGGUGGUUCCUGGACGCAUGGGGCAAGGUGGCGGUGGGCGCCAUGAAUCAACGCGUUGGCACCAACGGCACGACGCUGCUCGGUUCGCCCGCCGGCCUGCAAGCGGCCCGGGUCGGCGGCGUCUACGCUCAGGAGACCAACGCCGGCGAUCAUAACCGCACGGAAGUGACCGCCAUCCCCGAGGUCGGCCUGAACGUGGGCUAUCAGCUGACGGGUCACCUGCGGGCCAGGAUUGGCUACAACUUCCUGUAUAUCCCCAAUGUGGCGCGGCCCGGCGAUCACAUCGACCGCACGGUGAACGUGACGCAGCAGGCCCCGGGCGGCCUGGUGGGCCCGGCCCGGCCGGCGUUCACGUUUGACAGCACCGACUUCUGGGCCCACGGCCUGAGCUUUGGGCUGGAGUUCCGCUACUAAUGCUGGUGGUGAGGUGGUGGGGUAGUGCAGGACCCACCACCUCACUAUCUCACUAUCUCACUAUCUCACUAUCUCACCACCUGUCAUUUCUUCCGAUUCCC
This 733-nucleotide unclassified non-coding RNA is filed under the name uncultured fungus. RNAcentral's name for it is "sequence contains 18S rRNA gene, ITS1, 5.8S rRNA gene, ITS2, 28S rRNA gene". The record is from RNAcentral. Lineage: Eukaryota; Fungi.